GGUUGUGGCUCAGUGGUAGAGCACUUGCCUCAAAUGUGUAAGGCACUGGGUUCAAUUCUCAGCACCA
This 67-nucleotide transfer RNA is filed under the name Marmota monax (woodchuck). RNAcentral's name for it is "tRNA.Leu". It matches the Rfam family "tRNA". From Rfam's summary of the family: Transfer RNA (tRNA) molecules are approximately 80 nucleotides in length. Lineage: Eukaryota; Metazoa; Chordata; Mammalia; Rodentia; Sciuridae. The record is from RNAcentral.